Cricetulus griseus (Chinese hamster) is the source of this 2018-nucleotide non-coding RNA. The record is from RefSeq and is a predicted model, not a curated record. Lineage: Eukaryota; Metazoa; Chordata; Mammalia; Rodentia; Cricetidae.
CCUCCUGAGCCUGUGUCUUCUAUGGGAGGACAGGAAAUCUCCUCCCUUCCCUACCGGGCUGAGGAGCUGAGCGAGCAAAGAAACUUAGGAGAGAGGAAUCUGAAAGGCCCACACCUGCUUCCUCUACCCAAGCAGCGAGCACCCUGUGACCAGGCUCCAUAAAGCCCAUGCCAUCUGAACAGCAUGGCUAUUCUUGCUUAGUCCAGACAUUGACAGAUGAUUGUCUACUCACCCAGUCUUUGCUAACGCAGGAAAUGAAGACAUUCAGCUGAAGGGGAGAAAGAGGUGGAAGGCCUUUCCCUUCUGGCUCCAGUAACAAGAGCAGAGAAAGACUCAGAACCCCAGCUGGCAAGAGAGGAAGAUAAAUAAGAAAAAACAAAACACGUCCUUGCACUACAAUGGAAUGUUUUAAAGAGAGGUGGAAAAUGCAAGGUCAGGGGCAGAUCUCAUUUUCUGGCAUCUCGGGAGAAAUAUUACAAGGUCUGGCCUGAGAAGAUGCCAUCCGUGCAUCAGGAAGACAGGCCACAGAGCAGAGACACCUGGAGGCUUCAGGACAAGGCCCCAGUCCUUGAGCCCAUUUCCAGCAGACACAGCAAUGGGGGCCACAUCCAAAGGGCCUCUGACUGCAUCUUUCAUGGUCAUGAUCCAGUGACGAGAGUGAACAGCUCAGAGGGGGUGGGGGGCUCAGAGGGGGGCAACUGAUGAUGACCAAGCUUUCCCAAAGCUCUCCCUGUGUAUCCUGUGCCAUUUAAAGCAUUCUAUAGAUCAUAUUUCAUUUUAUUCUUUCAACUAUGCGGUGAAGUAAUAGCAUAAGUAGCCUCAUUUCAGAAAUGGGGAAACUGAGGUAGGAAGCUUUAAAAGCCACAGAGCCAAGAGCAUAGCCAGUAAGUUGAAGAGCCAAGAGUUGAACGAAAGUUCACACAUGAGUAAUCCUGCCCAUCUCAGUCUUGUAUCUCUGGUUCUGGGACCUUGUUAGGAUAUGUGGCACAUGGGAACUCUGUGUUUUUCCUCCACAGUGCCCCACUCCCUUAAGAAGUCUUCGUUGUACUCCCCUGUGUGCUCAUGAGCCUCCAGCUUAUGUUGCGUGGAAGAUAUGUGUGCCACUGAUUUAUAACCAUCAGAGAAAACAGAAUUGCAAAUCUCACCCACAAAUCUUCCUUAUCGAGAUGCUUACAACAAGCAGACACAUCGUGAAUUCCCAAGAACAGGCAGGCCCCCCCCUCUAGCCUUGGUUCCCUCCAGCUCCCUGCUCCCUGGGCCUGUAGGGAGUCAUAGGUUGGCUCUGUGAUGUCCCUCUGGCUGCCAGAAAAAGGCUAGUUCACACACACAGGAAGUGGUAGUACAUCAGCAAUGCUGGCUCCCAGUGGUGUAGUCUGGAAGAGCUCCAAGGGUCCCUCCUGCCCUGCUCCAGCCCUCACUGUUCAGAUGGUGAAUAGGGUCUUAAGUACCAAAGCCAGAGGAGCAAAGACCCCCUGAACAAGCAUUACAGUCAGCUAGCAGCAAGGAGCCAGUAGAGGCUCUAUCAACUCUUUUAACAUUACCCACAUGACACAUGGUUGAGGCUCAGAACCAUUCUACCAUGUUCCUUGAGUCCAGGGUUCUUCAAGUCCAAAGCCCCUACUACUGGCAUACAUAUUUCACCUUACUCCUUUAGAGGGGCUGGGUCAUCUCACAGGUGUAUAGCCCUCCCCUACUUUGUACAUGCUAGACCAGCGGGAGAUGUUUCUGAUCGCACUGAGUGGAGUUCACAUUGUCUCCUCCAGGCUCGCCCUCCAUCCCUGAGACCAGAGAAUGGAAGGAGAAGCACAAUCCAGGUGAUGUAACCAAUCAGCUACAGGCUUCCCUAGCAUCUUGGGGCAUGAGGCUACCUAUUGGGCACCAGUGGCCCAAUCUUGGCUCUACUCUGACCUACUGCACACCAGGCCAGUCUGAUCAGUCUGAUGAACUUCCUAAAUUUUGCCUUUGUGUGUGUGUUAUAUGUAUACAGAUUUGUAGAUGUGUAUUUGAACAGAUGUGUA